AUACAUGGCCGACCUGGGUCAAAGUCCAGUAUCUGUUCUUAUCAGCUUAAUAUCUGACACGGGCUCUAUUUGGACGCAAGGUGUUAUACUUAUUUUCGCAAGUUGACGGAGUGCUUGAAGCCCACUUUACCUCCGCCACGGCCCAGCCCGGUAUUGCACUAUCUUCGGGAUUGGCCUACAGGUA
Small nuclear RNA from Dermacentor andersoni, 184 nucleotides. RefSeq annotates it as U2 spliceosomal RNA. The record is from RefSeq and is a predicted model, not a curated record. Lineage: Eukaryota; Metazoa; Arthropoda; Arachnida; Ixodida; Ixodidae.